RNAcentral lists this ribosomal RNA (258 nucleotides) under uncultured bacterium. Its description in RNAcentral is "partial 16S ribosomal RNA". It matches the Rfam family "Bacterial small subunit ribosomal RNA", at positions 793 to 1055 of the family's 1533-position model. The record is from RNAcentral.
GUCCACGCCCUAAACGAUGUUUACUUGCUGUGUGAUCUUCGGAUUGCGUGGCGAAGCGAAAGCGAUAAGUAAACCACCUGGGGAGUACGCCGGCAACGGUGAAACUCAAAGGAAUUGACGGGGUCCGCACAAGCGGUGGAGCAUGUGGUUUAAUUCGAUGAUACGCGAGGAACCUUACCUGGGCUAGAAUGUGUGAGGAAGUGAUGUGAAAGCUGAUCGCCCGCAAGGGCUUCAUACAAGGUGCUGCAUGGCUGUCGU